RNAcentral lists this ribosomal RNA (468 nucleotides) under uncultured bacterium. Its description in RNAcentral is "partial 16S ribosomal RNA". It matches the Rfam family "Bacterial small subunit ribosomal RNA", at positions 28 to 507 of the family's 1533-position model. The record is from RNAcentral.
GACGAACGCUGGCGGCGCGCCUAACACAUGCAAGUCGAACGGAGCUGAGAGAAGCUUGCUUUUCUUAACUUAGUGGCGAACGGGUGAGUAACGCGUGAGUAACCUGCCCUGGAGUGGGGGACAACAGUUGGAAACGACUGCUAAUACCGCAUAAGCCCACGAUACGGCAUGGUCUUGAGGGAAAAGGAUUUAUUCGCUUCAGGAUGGACUCGCGUCCAAUUAGCUAGUUGGUGAGGUAACGGCCCACCAAGGCGAGGAUUGGUAGCCGGACUGAGAGGUUGAACGGACACAUUGGCACUGAGACACGGCCCAGAAUCCUACGGGAGGCAGCAGUGGGGGAUAUUGCACAAUGGGGGAAACCCUGAUGCAGCGACGACGCGUGGAGGAAGAAGGUUUUCGGAUUGUAAACUCCGGUCGUUAGGGACGAUAAUGACGGUACCUAAAAAGAAAGCACCGGCUAACUACGUG